UUCGGAGGUACUCGAGUGGCGAACGGGUGAGUAACACGUGGGCAAUCUGCCCUGCACUUCGGGAUAAGCCUGGGAAACUGGGUCUAAUACCGAAUAGGACCUCAAGACGCAUGUCUUUUGGUGGAAAGCUUUUGCGGUGUGGGAUGGGCCCGCGGCCUAUCAGCUUGUUGGUGGGGUGACGGCCUACCAAGGCGACGACGGGUAGCCGGCCUGAGAGGGUGUCCGGCCACACUGGGACUGAGAUACGGCCCAGACUCCUACGGGAGGCAGCAGUGGGGAAUAUUGCACAAUGGGCGCAAGCCUGAUGCAGCGACGCCGCGUGGGGGAUGACGGCCUUCGGGUUGUAAACCUCUUUCACCAUCGACGAAGGUCCGGGUUUUCUCGGAUUGACGGUAGGUGGAGAAGAAGCACCGGCCAACUACGUGCCAGCAGCCGCGGUAAUACGUAGGGUGCGAGCGUUGUCCGGAAUUACUGGGCGUAAAGAGCUCGUAGGUGGUUUGUCGCGUUGUUCGUGAAAUCUCACGGCUUAACUGUGAGCGUGCGGGCGAUACGGGCAGACUAGAGUACUGCAGGGGAGACUGGAAUUCCUGGUGUAGCGGUGGAAUGCGCAGAUAUCAGGAGGAACACCGGUGGCGAAGGCGGGUCUCUGGGCAGUAACUGACGCUGAGGAGCGAAAGCGUGGGGAGCGAACAGGAUUAGAUACCCUGGUAGUCCACGCCGUAAACGGUGGGUACUAGGUGUGGGUUUCCUUCCUUGGGAUCCGUGCCGUAGCUAACGCAUUAAGUACCCCGCCUGGGGAGUACGGCCGCAAGGCUAAAACUCAAAGGAAUUGACGGGGGCCCGCACAAGCGGCGGAGCAUGUGGAUUAAUUCGAUGCAACGCGAAGAACCUUACCUGGGUUUGACAUGCACAGGACGCGUCUAGAGAUAGGCGUUCCCUUGUGGCCUGUGUGCAGGUGGUGCAUGGCUGUCGUCAGCUCGUGUCGUGAGAUGUUGGGUUAAGUCCCGCAACGAGCGCAACCCUUGUCUCAUGUUGCCAGCGGGUAAUGCCGGGGACUCGUGAGAGACUGCCGGGGUCAACUCGGAGGAAGGUGGGGAUGACGUCAAGUCAUCAUGCCCCUUAUGUCCAGGGCUUCACACAUGCUACAAUGGCCGGUACAAAGGGCUGCGAUGCCGUAAGGUUAAGCGAAUCCUUUUAACNAGCCGGUCUCAGUUCGGAUUGGGACNNGACCCGUCUGCAACUCGACCCCAUGAAGUCGGAGUCGCUAGUAAUCGCAGAUCAGCAACGCUGCGGUGAAUACGUUCCCGGGCCUUGUACACACCGCCCGUCACGUCAUGAAAGUCGGUAACACCCGAAGCC
Molecule: ribosomal RNA, 1359 nt
Filed under: Mycobacterium sp. DWMJ-1043B1
Lineage: Bacteria; Bacillati; Actinomycetota; Actinomycetes; Mycobacteriales; Mycobacteriaceae
Description: bacterial SSU rRNA
Rfam family: Bacterial small subunit ribosomal RNA
Source: RNAcentral